GCUACUCCCUUCCCGGGGGCAGCAGUGGGGAAUAUUGCACAAUGGGCGCAAGCCUGAUGCAGCGACGCCGCGUGAGGGAUGACGGCCUUCGGGUUGUAAACCUCUUUCAGUAGGGAAGAAGCGUAAGUGACGGUACCUGCAGAAGAAGCGCCGGCUAACUACGUGCCAGCAGCCGCGGUAAUACGUAGGGCGCAAGCGUUAUCCGGAAUUAUUGGGCGUAAAGAGCUCGUAGGCGGUUUGUCGCGUCUGCCGUGAAAGUCCGGGGCUCAACUCCGGAUCUGCGGUGGGUACGGGCAGACUAGAGUGAUGUAGGGGAGACUGGAAUUCCUGGUGUAGCGGUGAAAUGCGCAGAUAUCAGGAGGAACACCGAUGGCGAAGGCAGGUCUCUGGGCAUUAACUGACGCUGAGAGCUAGCUGCCC
Molecule: ribosomal RNA, 420 nt
Filed under: Arthrobacter sp.
Lineage: Bacteria; Bacillati; Actinomycetota; Actinomycetes; Micrococcales; Micrococcaceae
Description: bacterial SSU rRNA
Rfam family: Bacterial small subunit ribosomal RNA
Source: RNAcentral